AGCUUUCUGAAUUUGUGCUGAGAUUUCGUCAAACACCAACCUACUAGGGCUGGUGAGAUUUUUGAGAUAAGUGAAGUG
RNAcentral lists this microRNA precursor (78 nucleotides) under Schistosoma mansoni. RNAcentral's name for it is "mir-3492 microRNA precursor family". It matches the Rfam family "mir-3492 microRNA precursor family". The record is from Rfam by way of RNAcentral. Lineage: Eukaryota; Metazoa; Platyhelminthes; Trematoda; Strigeidida; Schistosomatidae.